This 468-nucleotide ribosomal RNA is filed under the name uncultured bacterium. Its description in RNAcentral is "partial 16S ribosomal RNA". It matches the Rfam family "Bacterial small subunit ribosomal RNA", at positions 28 to 507 of the family's 1533-position model. The record is from RNAcentral.
GACGAACGCUGGCGGCGUGCUUAACACAUGCAAGUCGAACGGAAAGGCCCUGCUUUUGUGGGGUGCUCGAGUGGCGAACGGGUGAGUAACACGUGAGUAACCUGCCCUUGACUUUGGGAUAACUUCAGGAAACUGGGGCUAAUACCGGAUAGGAGCUCCUGCUGCAUGGUGGGGGUUGGAAAGUUUCGGCGGUUGGGGAUGGACUCGCGGCUUAUCAGCUUGUUGGUGGGGUAGUGGCUUACCAAGGCUUUGACGGGUAGCCGGCCUGAGAGGGUGACCGGCCACAUUGGGACUGCGAUACGGCGCAGAAUCCUACGGGAGGCAGCAGUGGGGAAUAUUGCACAAUGGGCGGAAGCCUGAUGCAGAAACGCCGCGUGCGGGAUGACGGCCUUCGGGUUGUAAACAGCUUUCGACUGUGCCGAAGAGUGAGUGACGGUAAUGGGUCAAGAAGCAACGGCUAACUACGUG